Meriones unguiculatus (Mongolian gerbil) is the source of this 5002-nucleotide long non-coding RNA. RefSeq lists it as uncharacterized. The record is from RefSeq and is a predicted model, not a curated record. The transcript is spliced from 4 exons. NCBI's taxonomy places the organism in Eukaryota, Metazoa, Chordata, Mammalia, Rodentia, Muridae.
GAGAAAUGGGGUAAUUGAGCCUGGUGCAAAGAAAUGGUGUCUUUACUUCUGCAACAGGGUUAGAGGGAAGAUGUGGGGAUUAGGGCCUGAAAUAUAUCUAUUUCGGAGCAGCUUAUGCAUGCUUAUGCAUACAGACACAGCACGCACGGCAGUGCAUGAUACAGCUUUCAGAGACACCCAUACCUGUGUUUCUGUCUGCCCUCCUGAGGUGCAGAUCUCUCUCUAUAGCUGCAUCUAUUUCUACAUAUCAAUAUCCAAAAUUUCAUCUCUCUCUAUCACUCUCUAGAGCUGUAUAUCUACAUAGUAAUAAUUACACCAAUGCUAUUCUCUGCACACAUGACUAUCUAGCUAUGCAUCAGCGUGUUUGUUGAUGGCCACUAAGGAUUCAACAUAAUGUUAGGUUCUUCUUUUGUCUUAUUAAAAAAAAAAAACAAAACAAAAACAAACAAACCUAGAUGAAAGCUGGAAGGAGAAAAAUCUAUUGUGUCCAAAGAAUGUCUGAAUCACGGAACAAUUUCUCUUUCAUUUAUGAAACACAUUAUCAGGGUUCCGCAUGUACUUUUAGGUUUUAUCAGCUGGAGGAAUGUCUAUCCUCCUGGAGGAUGUACUCUGAAGUCACGAUGAAGUGAUUUUAGAGCCCAGGAUUUUGAAGUGUUUAAAAGUGCAUUCUGGAAGCAAUUUGGCCAGGUGUAGUGGAGGUCCAGGACUCUAGACUCAUGCAUGGAGUGUACUGAGAAUUAAACCUGUUCAAGAAGCUGAUGGACACAAAGUGCCACUUAACAGACUAACACAUUUAAUGUGUUCUAGGGGAACCCAGAGUCACACGAUCAGGAUUUGACUGUUUUGCCUUUGACUUUACCACCCACCAGUUCUGUGGUUUGGGGUCUAGGGCCCUGAUUUUGAGGUUACAAGGAUGACACCUCCCACCCUGAGCCCCAUGAUAAAUAGCGGCAUAAUCACUUUGCCAGCAUUGAACCUAGAACAGACGAGGAACUUUUAAAUGUUGAGGUACCUUUCAAUUGCCAACAGUUCUGAAUCUUUCUCUCUCCUUUCCUCCAUCUCUUCUUCUUUCCCUCCCUCUCUCCAUUCUCUCCCUCUCUUUUUUCUCUCCCCCUCUCUGUGUUUGCAUGCACACGCAGGUGGAGGUCAGAAAGCAACAUCAGGUUCUUCCCUCAAUACCUCUCUGCUUUAGGGAUGACAUGGUUUGCUUUUUUUUUUUUUUUUUUCUGUGAUAAACACCAUGACCAAAAGCAGCUUGAAGAGAAACAUGUUCUGUUUGGCUUAUAUGUUGUGAUCAUGCUCAGCCACCAAGGGAGGUCAGAGCAGGAACACAAACAGGAGCAGAGGCAAGAAAAUUUGAGGAAUGCUGCUUUCUCAUCAUGUUUUUAGCACUGGCCAAGGUACCCAGGAGUGGAACCUCCCACAGUGAAUUGGGUCUUCCCACAUCAAUCAUUAACCAUGAAAAUUAUCCAGACUUGCCUUACUGAUCAGUCUGAUAGAGGUGCUUUCUCAGUUGAGGUUCCUUGAGCUUGUGUCAAGGAAACACAGAAAACCAACAACUUAAGGCACAAGCCAUGGGGUACAUUGCCUGGGGUUCUCUAUAGGUGCUGGAGAUCAAAGGUGUAUUCAUGCAACAGAGGCAGAUAGUUGACCUAAGAUGCAAUGACAUCAGGAGUCAUUUCUCUCCUAUUGAGUUAGGCUGACUCUCUUGUUUCUGCUGGGCUGGCACUUCAGGAUAACUCACCUCCAAGCUCCAGCAAUUCCUUUGUCCUUGCCAUCCAUCUAGCCUUAAGAGUGUUGGAAUUAUAGAUGCAUGCCAUCAAAUCCUAAACUUUGUACAUGGGUUCCAGGGAUCAAACUCAGUGCUGGAGACUGCUCAAGGUCUUACAACUGUGCAAUCAAUUACUUCACCACUAAGCUGCAUCCCCAGCCUGAUUACUUCUGGAGCGCCUCUUGCCUCAACGAAAUUGUAAACCCAGCCUUAUUUAAACAUGUAGCAAUGCCUCGGGUCAUAUGCUUUUUUCUUUUCAUUGACUGUCUUAUGUAUGUAUGUAUGCAUGUAAGACACCAUGACCAAAGCAACUUAUAAAAGAAAGCAUUUAAUUUGGAGCUCAUAAUUUCAGGCAAUAGCAGAGUUUUUGACAGCCAUGGUGGUGAGCAUGGCAGCAGGUAGGCAGGCAUCAUGCUGAGAGCUUAUAUUGGAUCCACCAGGAAGAGGCAGAGAGAGGAUUUGGAGGAGACUCUGGGCCUGAUGUGAGCUUUUGAAACUUCCAAGCCCUACAGACACAUCUGUUCCAACAAGGUCACACUCCCUGACUCUUCCCAGAUAAUUCUAGUUCUACCAACUUGUGACCAAGCACUCAAGUAUAUGUCUAUGGGGGACAUUUUCAUUCAAUCCAUUAAAACCCUGUCUUAAAAACAAACAUUCAAGCAAGCAAAAUAUCAACAUUCCUACACAUAUCAAUGAUUAACCAUUAAUAAACUGUUUUUCUUGGUUAAUAUCAGAAGAUACUAAUGAGAAACUAAACCAAACAGAAAUUAGUGUCAUUUUCAUGUGGAAAGAAAGAACAACAUUAAGUAGAUGUCUUAUUGUAUGGAGAAAACCCAGAAAGGAAGAUUCAAUUUCUGUGUAUCAGCUCAUUGCCUAUUUAAAUAAGAAAAGAAGAGAGAGAGAGAAACAGAGAUAGACAGAGACAGACAGAGAUUAAUUCAGAAGAAGAAAAUAAAACCUAAAUUCUUCACUAUGAUGAUAAAUUUCAGCACAAAAUCCAUAAUUAAAAUGGCUGAGUAUGUAGGAGAGUGUUUUCCCAGCACGUACAAGGUCCUGGAGUCCAUCUUACACACAUACACACACACACACACACACACACACACACACACAGACACUAUAGAUACACAGACAUAUAGACACACAGACACUAAAGACACACUACAGAUAUUUCAGAGUUGUUAUUCAGGGGAAUCAAAGAGAUUCCAAAUAAUGCAGGCUAUUGCCAAUGCCUUGAUUGGCUCCACUCCACAAGGACUUCAAAGUAAAACCCUAUUGCUGAAGACACCACGUGUUUGAGACACAAACUGAGACACAGGAACUGAGCCUGAACUGAUCUGAAAGAUUUCUCCCUGAGGACCAGCUCUCAUGCUGUCUGAAUCUAUACAAACUUCCAAGGAAGGAAAGCAUUCAAUAGCCCUACCCAGCCGUAAACCUUGCAAACCACAACAAUAACUAGCAAGAUGAUCCCAAGGGUGAAACAGUGGCAUUUAUAUCUUGGGGGCAACCACUAGCUGUCUAGUCGGACUUAAGGCCUACUCAUUGGGAGUGAAUUUGUGCUUAGUACAGUGAACCAGGCCCACUACCUGUGGGUGACAUGCUCUUAGACUGUAGAGGAGAACCCACUUAUGACACUUUCCUAAACCAGUAUCACUUCUAAUUACAUGCUAAAUACUUAUCUCUGUACUCAAAGAUAAGUAGUUCUUACCCUUUAUCAAAGAGGCUUCUAUGGGAAGCAGAUGGAGACCAUCACAGAAAUCCACAGCUUGUCAAAAUGCAGAGAACAACUGACGGCGUGCCCAAGCCCCAGGUGACACACACACAGCACAACUCUUACUCCUAAGGCUCAGGGAACAUUCCUGAGGAGGGGGAUAGAAAGGUUUUAAGAGCAAGAGGCCCAAGCCGUCUGCUGUGAGAUGAGAUCUUCUAUGUAUGACAGGAAAAUCACAUCCAUGAAAUCUCAAAGGUUGCCUAAACGAGACCCGUGUAAUGGAAACAUCUGUUGACAUGCCAGUGUGGGUGAGAGAAUUCUUAGAGGGUCCUAUCCCUAGACAAAGUACUGUAGACAAGUGCCGCUCAACCUGUGGGUCACUGCGCCUUUGGGGCAUUGAACGACCCAUUCACAGGGGCCCCUAAGUGGCAGAAGCCAUGAAGGAAGAACGGCCAUGAACAAGUGAGCUUCCUGGGGAUGGCUCACCAUUUUGCAUGGCUAUGAUAUGUUUAUGUUGGAGGGGCACGUCCCCAGGGAUUUUGUCUCCAGGUUCUUCUUGCUGCUGCUGUGGCUUCCCAUGCUUGUCAUUUCUGUAUUCCUCAUGUAUCUGGCACGGUAUGGAGAGGCCCUCACUGCCUAUUAGUUCCUCAGGAUUUACCCACUCUGUCGGCCAAUAUGUACUUUCAUGAGAUAAUGCUGUUUAGAUGAAUUGAUGAUUUUGUAAUUCCUGAUCAUGAUUUUAUAGAAUUCCUGAUUUGAUUCAAGUAACUCUAAGCCCCCUCCUGCGGAACAGCAAAGGCUGCAGAACGGAGUUCUGUGAAUCUGCAUAUGUCACAAGCACAGAAAUUGCACCAGGAAGAAGAACAGGCUUGAGGCAAAUCUAUGGUCUAGGAAAACAUUCAUUCUUGAUUAGGUCCAGAGAUGGGAUCAUGGAUUUCUGCAUGCAUCAUGAAAACUAGUUUAAGCUAUACAAGGCCUUAAAAAUAAGACAUAAGAUAAAUGGCUGCUUUCUUGGUUAAAAACCUUGCUGACCUAUGACAAAAACAAACAAAUAAAACAAAAACAAAAAACAAAACAAAAACAGCCUAUUGCUCUGAACUUAUAAUGAUCUGUGGAAUGAAAGACAGAUAAAAAUAUCACUUUGAACUUGUAAUGAACUUGUAGAGCUAAGAGAUAGAUAAAGAAUGUUUCGUUAGGUGCAAGCCUUAAUGGAAAGACAUGUAAAUGAUUAUCUUGUUGUAAAUCCUUAAAUCAUGUUAACCUUAAACCUUAUCAACCUAUGAUGUGAAUAAAUAUUGCUGUGAACUUACAGUGAACUUAUGGAAUCUUAUAUGGAUAAGAUAUAUUUACUUAGGCACAAGUAAUCAAUAAUCUUGCUGUACAUCCCUCUGUGUAACUACUUUAUCUGUUUCUGUGAUAAUUGCUGUUAUGGCUAUGUACAAUUUUUUUCUUCUGACAUAGAGAUUUUUCCUUAGAAAGUAUAAAUUGAACUAAGAAAUAAUAAAAGCUGCUUUAUCCACCAA